RNAcentral lists this ribosomal RNA (340 nucleotides) under uncultured Prevotella sp. RNAcentral describes it as "bacterial SSU rRNA". It matches the Rfam family "Bacterial small subunit ribosomal RNA", at positions 8 to 339 of the family's 1533-position model. The record is from RNAcentral. Lineage: Bacteria; Pseudomonadati; Bacteroidota; Bacteroidia; Bacteroidales; Prevotellaceae.
AGAGUUUGAACAUGGCUCAGGAUGAACGCUAGCUACAGGCUUAACACAUGCAAGUCGUGGGGCAGUAUGAAGGAAGCUUGCUUCCUUUGAUGGCGACCGGCGCACGGGUGAGUAACGCGUAUCCAACCUGCCCACGGCCAGGGGAUAGCCCGCUGAAAAGCGGAUUAAUGCCCUAUGGCGUCCUUUGCAGACAUCUAAUGAGGACUAAAGGUUUACCGGCCAUGGAUGGGGAUGCGUCCGAUUAGGUAGUUGGCGGGGUAACGGCCCACCAAGCCAUCGAUCGGUAGGGGUUCUGAGAGGAAGGUCCCCCACAUUGGAACUGAGACACGGUCCAAACUCC